Molecule: ribosomal RNA, 588 nt
Filed under: Penicillium chrysogenum
Lineage: Eukaryota; Fungi; Ascomycota; Eurotiomycetes; Eurotiales; Aspergillaceae
Description: eukaryotic LSU rRNA
Rfam family: 5.8S ribosomal RNA (bases 210-362)
Source: RNAcentral
UUCCGUAGGGGUGAACCUGCGGAAGGAUCAUUACCGAGUGAGGGCCCUCUGGGUCCAACCUCCCACCCGUGUUUAUUUUACCUUGUUGCUUCGGCGGGCCCGCCUUAACUGGCCGCCGGGGGGCUUACGCCCCCGGGCCCGCGCCCGCCGAAGACACCCUCGAACUCUGUCUGAAGAUUGUAGUCUGAGUGAAAAUAUAAAUUAUUUAAAACUUUCAACAACGGAUCUCUUGGUUCCGGCAUCGAUGAAGAACGCAGCGAAAUGCGAUACGUAAUGUGAAUUGCAAAUUCAGUGAAUCAUCGAGUCUUUGAACGCACAUUGCGCCCCCUGGUAUUCCGGGGGGCAUGCCUGUCCGAGCGUCAUUUCUGCCCUCAAGCACGGCUUGUGUGUUGGGCCCCGUCCUCCGAUCCCGGGGGACGGGCCCGAAAGGCAGCGGCGGCACCGCGUCCGGUCCUCGAGCGUAUGGGGCUUUGUCACCCGCUCUGUAGGCCCGGCCGGCGCUUGCCGAUCAACCCAAAUUUUUAUCCAGGUGACCUCGGAUCAGGUAGGGAUACCCGCUGAACUUAAGCAUAUCAAUAAGCGGAGGAA